GUGGUGGCUCAGUGGUAGAGCACUUGCUUGGCAUAUGUGAGGCACUGGGUUCAAUUCUCAGCACCACA
RNAcentral lists this transfer RNA (68 nucleotides) under Marmota marmota marmota (Alpine marmot). It matches the Rfam family "tRNA". From Rfam's summary of the family: Transfer RNA (tRNA) molecules are approximately 80 nucleotides in length. Their secondary structure includes four short double-helical elements and three loops (D, anti-codon, and T loops). The record is from Rfam by way of RNAcentral. RNAcentral also lists the same sequence under 1 other name. Lineage: Eukaryota; Metazoa; Chordata; Mammalia; Rodentia; Sciuridae.